This 1372-nucleotide ribosomal RNA is filed under the name uncultured bacterium. Its description in RNAcentral is "bacterial SSU rRNA". It matches the Rfam family "Bacterial small subunit ribosomal RNA", at positions 28 to 1381 of the family's 1533-position model. The record is from RNAcentral.
GAUAAACGCUGGCGGCGUGCCUAAUACAUGCAAGUCGAGCGAACGGACGAGAAGCUUGCUUCUCUGAUGUUAGCGGCGGACGGGUGAGUAACACGUGGAUAACCUACCUAUAAGACUGGGAUAACUUCGGGAAACCGGAGCUAAUACCGGAUAAUAUUUUGAACCGCAUGGUUCAAAAGUGAAAGACGGUCUUGCUGUCACUUAUAGAUGGAUCCGCGCUGCAUUAGCUAGUUGGUAAGGUAACGGCUUACCAAGGCAACGAUGCAUAGCCGACCUGAGAGGGUGAUCGGCCACACUGGAACUGAGACACGGUCCAGACUCCUACGGGAGGCAGCAGUAGGGAAUCUUCCGCAAUGGGCGAAAGCCUGACGGAGCAACGCCGCGUGAGUGAUGAAGGUCUUCGGAUCGUAAAACUCUGUUAUUAGGGAAGAACAUAUGUGUAAGUAACUGUGCACAUCUUGACGGUACCUAAUCAGAAAGCCACGGCUAACUACGUGCCAGCAGCCGCGGUAAUACGUAGGUGGCAAGCGUUAUCCGGAAUUAUUGGGCGUAAAGCGCGCGUAGGCGGUUUUUUAAGUCUGAUGUGGAAGCCCACGGCUCAACCGUGGAGGGUCAUUGGAAACUGGAAAACUUGAGUGCAGAAGAGGAAAGUGGAAUUCCAUGUGUAGCGGUGAAAUGCGCAGAGAUAUGGAGGAACACCAGUGGCGAAGGCGACUUUCUGGUCUGUAACUGACGCUGAUGUGCGAAAGCGUGGGGAUCAAACAGGAUUAGAUACCCUGGUAGUCCACGCCGUAAACGAUGAGUGCUAAGUGUUAGGGGGUUUCCGCCCCUUAGUGCUGCAGCUAACGCAUUAAGCACUCCGCCUGGGGAGUACGACCGCAAGGUUGAAACUCAAAGGAAUUGACGGGGACCCGCACAAGCGGUGGAGCAUGUGGUUUAAUUCGAAGCAACGCGAAGAACCUUACCAAAUCUUGACAUCCUUUGACAACUCUAGAGAUAGAGCCUUCCCCUUCGGGGGACAAAGUGACAGGUGGUGCAUGGUUGUCGUCAGCUCGUGUCGUGAGAUGUUGGGUUAAGUCCCGCAACGAGCGCAACCCUUAAGCUUAGUUGCCAUCAUUAAGUUGGGCACUCUAAGUUGACUGCCGGUGACAAACCGGAGGAAGGUGGGGAUGACGUCAAAUCAUCAUGCCCCUUAUGAUUUGGGCUACACACGUGCUACAAUGGACAAUACAAAGGGCAGCGAAACCGCGAGGUCAAGCAAAUCCCAUAAAGUUGUUCUCAGUUCGGAUUGUAGUCUGCAACUCGACUACAUGAAGCUGGAAUCGCUAGUAAUCGUAGAUCAGCAUGCUACGGUGAAUACGUUCCCGGGUCU